AGUGAACGCUGGCGGUAGGCCUAACACAUGCAAGUCGAACGGCAGCACAGUAAGAGCUUGCUCUUACGGGUGGCGAGUGGCGGACGGGUGGGGAAUACAUCGGAAUCUACUUUUUCGUGGGGGAUAACGUGGGGAAACUUACGCUAAUACCGCAUACGACCUACGGGUGAAAGCAGGGGAUCUUCGGACCUUGCGCGAUUGAAUGAGCCGAUGUCGGAUUAGCUAGUUGGCGGGGUAAAGGCCCACCAAGGCGACGAUCCGUAGCUGGUCUGAGAGGAUGAUCAGCCACACUGGAACUGAGACACGGUCCAGACUCCUACGGGAGGCAGCAGUGGGGAAUAUUGGACAAUGGGCGCAAGCCUGAUCCAGCCAUACCGCGUGGGUGAAGAAGGCCUUCGGGUUGUAAAGCCCUUUUGUUGGGAAAGAAAAGCAGCAGGUUAAUACCCCGCUGUUCUGACGGUACCCAAAGAAUAAGCACCGGCUAACUUCGUG
RNAcentral lists this ribosomal RNA (492 nucleotides) under uncultured bacterium. Its description in RNAcentral is "partial 16S ribosomal RNA". It matches the Rfam family "Bacterial small subunit ribosomal RNA", at positions 29 to 507 of the family's 1533-position model. The record is from RNAcentral.